GACGAACGCUGGCGGCGUGCUUAACACAUGCAAGUCGAACGAUGAUGCCCAGCUUGCUGGGUGGAUUAGUGGCGAACGGGUGAGUAACACGUGAGUAACCUGCCCCUGACUCUGGGAUAAGCGUUGGAAACGACGUCUAAUACUGGAUAUGACUGCCGGCCGCAUGGUCUGGUGGUGGAAAGAUUUUCUGGUUGGGGAUGGACUCGCGGCCUAUCAGCUUGUUGGUGAGGUAAUGGCUCACCAAGGCGACGACGGGUAGCCGGCCUGAGAGGGUGACCGGCCACACUGGGACUGAGACACGGCCCAGACUCCUACGGGAGGCAGCAGUGGGGAAUAUUGCACAAUGGGCGAAAGCCUGAUGCAGCAACGCCGCGUGAGGGAUGACGGCCUUUGGGUUGUAAACCUCUUUUAGUAGGGAAGAAGCGAAAGUGACGGUACCUGCAGAAAAAGCACCGGCUAACUACGUGCCAGCAGCCGCAGUAA
This 483-nucleotide ribosomal RNA is filed under the name uncultured bacterium. RNAcentral describes it as "partial 16S ribosomal RNA". It matches the Rfam family "Bacterial small subunit ribosomal RNA", at positions 28 to 523 of the family's 1533-position model. The record is from RNAcentral.